GGCACUAUGGCCGAGUGGUUAAGGCGGUAGACUCGAAUACCCACUUGUUCUAUCCAAGUGGCCCGUGAUCUACUUUCUUCGGAAGCGCAGGUUCAAAUCCUGCUGGUGUCG
This is a non-coding RNA of Myriangium duriaei CBS 260.36, 111 nucleotides long. The record is from the annotation of a GenBank genome assembly. Lineage: Eukaryota; Fungi; Ascomycota; Dothideomycetes; Myriangiales; Myriangiaceae.